AUGGCGGGAGUAGCGUCCCUCAACGCCGUGUCCCUGUUCGCGCCGUCGCCCCAGGCCCCGGGGGCGACCGCCGCCCGCGGCCGCCUCCUCGUCCCGGCGGCCCGUCGCUUCCCGUCGCUGCGGGCCGCGCGGCGCGUCGUCGCGGCGCGGGCGGCGCCCGUGGACGCCGACGACGAGUGGGGGAAGGAGCCGGCGGUGGGAGGGACGGCGGUGGCGGAGGCGCCCUCGGAGGCGGCCGCGGCCGCGAGCGAGGUGGCGGCGCUCAAGCUGAAGCUCAAGGCGGCGCUGUACGGGACGGAGCGCGGCCUGCGCGCGUCCAGCGAGACGCGGGCGGAGGUGGUCGAGCUCAUCACGCAGCUCGAGGCGCGCAACCCCACGCCGGCGCCCACCGAGGCGCUCACCCUCCUCAACGGCAAGUGGAUCCUCGCGUACACAUCAUUUUCGCAAUUGUUCCCACUGUUGGGGUCUGGAAGGCUACAAGCUCUUGUCAAGGUGGACGAAAUAUCACAGACUAUUGAUUCCGAGAACUUUGGGGUGCAGAACUGCAUCAAGUUUUCAGGACCUUUGGCGUCAACUUCAGUGUCCACCAAUGCCAAAUUUGAAAUUAGAAGCCCCAAACGUGUACAGAUCAAAUUUGAAGAAGGCAUCAUCGGCACUCCACAGCUGACUGAUUCCAUCGUACUGCCAGAGAAGUUUGAAUUCUUUGGACAGAACAUUGACCUGAGCCCGUUGAGCGGCAUAUUUACUUCGAUCGAGAACGCAGCGUCCUCCGUCGCCAAGACCAUCUCCGGUCAGCCUCCGCUGAAGAUUCCUUUCAGGAGCGAGAGCGCUGGGUCCUGGCUGCUCACAACCUACCUUGAUGCUGAGCUUAGAAUCUCAAGAGGAGACGGCAGCAGCAUCUUUGUGCUGUUCAAGGAAGGAAGCUCGCUCUCAAUAUAG
RNAcentral lists this ribosomal RNA (939 nucleotides) under Triticum aestivum (bread wheat). RNAcentral describes it as "partial small subunit ribosomal RNA". The record is from RNAcentral. Lineage: Eukaryota; Viridiplantae; Streptophyta; Magnoliopsida; Poales; Poaceae.